Molecule: long non-coding RNA, 253 nt
Filed under: Elaeis guineensis (African oil palm)
Lineage: Eukaryota; Viridiplantae; Streptophyta; Magnoliopsida; Arecales; Arecaceae
Description: long non-coding RNA (EGUI_LNC054203)
Source: RNAcentral
UCCUUAUAUGGGAUGUUUUAGAUAUGAUGAAGUGUGCAUAGAGAUUAUGAAUGAUCAAUAAGAGAUCAGUUACUCCUAAUAAGGAGAGUGGACAUCCUAUGUGAACUCAUAGGUCGAUGAUUUAGAAGUCUUUGGCCAAAGUAGGAUGAUAAUUAGAAAAGAGUUUCUAAUGUAUCAUCAACUGAAUCAUCAUCUUUAGAUCGAGAUACGUGAAGAUAAGUGAUUGAAUUUGACAUAUUUUCAUAUCCACAGC